UACGUAGGGGGCAAGCGUUGUCCGGAUUUACUGGGCGUAAAGCGCACGUAGGCGGAUUGCUAAGUCAGGGGUGAAAUCCUGGAGCUCAACUCCAGAACUGCCUUUGAUACUGGCAAUCUCGAGUCCGGGAGAGGUGAGUGGAACUGCGAGUGUAGAGGUGAAAUUCGUAGAUAUUCGCAAGAACACCAGUGGCGAAGGCGGCUCACUGGCCCGGUACUGACGCUGAGGUGCGAAAGCGUGGGGAGCAAACAGG
Molecule: ribosomal RNA, 253 nt
Filed under: uncultured bacterium
Lineage: Bacteria
Description: partial 16S ribosomal RNA
Rfam family: Bacterial small subunit ribosomal RNA
Source: RNAcentral